Molecule: transfer RNA, 73 nt
Filed under: Stegodyphus mimosarum
Lineage: Eukaryota; Metazoa; Arthropoda; Arachnida; Araneae; Eresidae
Rfam family: tRNA
About the family: Transfer RNA (tRNA) molecules are approximately 80 nucleotides in length.
Source: Rfam by way of RNAcentral
ACGUUCGUGGUGUAGCGGUCAGCACGCUGGGCGCCUGUUCCAGAAGUCCGUGGUUCGAUUCCCGGCGAAGGCG